GGAAGGAUGGCUGAGUGGUCGAAAGCGAUCGCCUCGAAAGCGAUUGUCUCGCAAGAGACCGCAGGUUCGAAUCCUGCUCCUUCCGCCA
This 88-nucleotide transfer RNA is filed under the name Candidatus Omnitrophota bacterium. RNAcentral's name for it is "tRNA-Ser". It matches the Rfam family "tRNA". From Rfam's summary of the family: Transfer RNA (tRNA) molecules are approximately 80 nucleotides in length. Their secondary structure includes four short double-helical elements and three loops (D, anti-codon, and T loops). Further hydrogen bonds mediate the characteristic L-shaped molecular structure. tRNAs have two regions of fundamental functional importance: the anti-codon, which is responsible for specific mRNA codon recognition, and the 3' end, to which the tRNAs corresponding amino acid is attached (by aminoacyl-tRNA synthetases). tRNAs cope with the degeneracy of the genetic code in two manners: having more than one tRNA (with a specific anti-codon) for a particular amino acid; and 'wobble' base-pairing, i.e. permitting non-standard base-pairing at the 3rd anti-codon position. The record is from RNAcentral. Lineage: Bacteria; Pseudomonadati; Candidatus Omnitrophota.